CCGCAGCAGGCACCGCUCGCUCCAGCUGCAAAAAGGUUUCAGAUGUCCCACCACUGCCUGACCCCCUGCAAAUAAGGGCUGACCACCAGAGGCACAUCCCACCUCUGACUUGUAAUCGCUGACAUUUAGGCUACAGCUUCCAACCUGUUUACAACCAAAGGGGGAGGGAAAGGAAAGGAAAGGAAGGGCGGGGGGGACAAGUUGGGAUUUCUCCCUCUCCCUUUCUCUCGGGAUUUUUUUUUUUUUUUUUAAUACUGUUCUGGAGAAUUCAAGGCAAAACAAAGAAACUUCCUCCUCUGGGGUUGUCAGUGAGAAAAGGAAGAGUUGUGCAACUGGUUUGGGAUUUGCAAAAAGGCAAGAGGGUGGGGAUCAGAAGAAGGUGCAAAGCCACAAAGUACCUUUCUGCAUCUAAGAUGGUGAAGAAAGGAGUGAGGAAGAGAACAAAAUAACUACUGGAAAGUCUCAAACCAGCUCUUUUUUUCUGAGGGAGGACUCGAAGGAUUAAAAGGCAGCAACUUCUGAGGCGAUUUGUCCCCUGAGUUAUGGAUGUUGGUGCACUUACUUCAGGCCAGAUCAGAGCUCAGAGGAAUCUAACCAGAAGCAGCAACCACCGUCUCUCCACUUGCCUUUUACCAGGUUUUACCCUUCCAGUAUGUUUCAUUUGAUAAGACAUUUUCCAGCGCCCAGAGUUUCAGUACAAUGUGCAAAUGGAUACUGACAAAUGGUGCCUCAGCCUUUUCCCACCUGCCUU
Molecule: long non-coding RNA, 751 nt
Filed under: Cyanistes caeruleus (blue tit)
Lineage: Eukaryota; Metazoa; Chordata; Aves; Passeriformes; Paridae
Description: lncRNA (ENSCCEG00000001760.1)
Source: RNAcentral